AUACGGAGGGUGCGAGCGUUAAUCGGAAUUACUGGGCGUAAAGCGUACGUAGGCGGUUGGUUAAGUUAGAUGUGAAAGCCCCGGGCUUAACCUGGGAACUGCAUUUAAAACUGGCGAACUAGAGUUGAGUAGAGGGGAGUGGAAUUUCAGGUGUAGCGGUGAAAUGCGUAGAGAUCUGAAGGAACACCAGUGGCGAAGGCGACUCCCUGGACUCGAACUGACGCUGAGGUACGAAAGCGUGGGUAGCAAACGGGAGUAGAAACCCUAGUAGUCC
Molecule: ribosomal RNA, 274 nt
Filed under: uncultured bacterium
Lineage: Bacteria
Description: partial 16S ribosomal RNA
Rfam family: Bacterial small subunit ribosomal RNA
Source: RNAcentral